GGCUGGGGGAGAACUGCAUGGCUGCCAGAGGCUGCCUGGCACAGUCAUCAUCUGAGCAGCAGAAUUUUCCUGUCUGCUGGUUCCACUUUCAGACAGACUGCACAGACACAGCCCCCCAUCUGCUUCUAGUUGCUUGUAGUACUACUGGAGAAAUUUGCACAUUUUAAAACAAGCUUGUGACUUUUUUUUCUAUUGCAGUUGCACCAGAACCCAUUUGCCCUACUACCACUGUCCCCACCACUGCCCACACCCCUACAGAUGAUUUCAGAGCUGCAGAAGUCAGAUGUGGGAUUAAUAAGUAAAUACUGCACCUUUAUUUCCUGAUUUAAAACCCACAGUUCCCUGAGACAGCCGCCUCCUGCAAGGGAAGGCUUCUAUGUCACAUAUUUAACAUCUUGGGGGGUUUAAAUUUGGUUAGAAUUGCCUGCUCUGUGCACUGGGUGGGUGUUCCUAGAGAUGCUCAGUGCGGACACACACAUUAGUCUCAUGGGGCUGGGGAUAAAUGUUACACUCCAUAAAGUUUGGUGAAUUUGAGCAUUGCUGAAGCUUCAAUCCCUCUGCUGAAACUGGGGAUUCUGACAGGAUUUCCUGUGUAUCAACAGCCAUGAAAUACUGUACAUGUCACUGGCCUUCAUCUCUGGCAUCUUCCUGACUGUCCUGGUUUUUGCUAUCGUCUUCCUCUUCAGGAAAAGCUCUAAAAGAUCCCACCAAAAUUUACAAGAGGAAACUUUCUCCCAGAUGGCAGCUGAGGAAUCUGUUAGGAACACCCAGAAUGAAGUGACCUACAGCACUCUGGUCUUCCAGCGGGGCAGGACACCACUGCCUGUGUGACGAGGAAGCUCCAAACGAAAUAAAAACGAUCCCACUUUCUGGACAUCAAAAGCCACGAGGAUGUCACACCGAGGGAAUGCCCUGGGAAUGCCCCCAUGCCCUCUGUAACACAGCUCUUUUUGUAGUUAUGACAGGAAAUUGUCUCCUGUUCAAACUGGCUGCCAACUGCUGUGGACAAAUAGAGAGUUUCUGUACAGGAUUUCCUCAUCUGUAGAAAUCUCCGUGCCUUGUAAAGUUUCCGUUUGUGAGAACUACCAGAGAGAAGUGAGAAAUGAAAAUGUUUCUCUGCAUCUAUCCAUAUCUGUGCCCUCGUGUUUCCCUUUUCUGUCACCAACUCCAACAUUUUCUGUAUUUUUGUUUGAUUGCCAAGUGUUCUGCUUAGUUAUUUUCUGUUAUUGAAAUGAUGAUCAUGAAACGUUUGGAUGCAAAUCUCUGCUUCCUGGUUGGCUCGCAUAAAAGAAAUACACAGUCACAGUGUGACAACCAAAAUCCCUGGGAAUGUUCAUUCAGGUGC
RNAcentral lists this long non-coding RNA (1345 nucleotides) under Geospiza fortis (medium ground-finch). RNAcentral's name for it is "lncRNA (ENSGFOG00000012789.1)". Lineage: Eukaryota; Metazoa; Chordata; Aves; Passeriformes; Thraupidae. The record is from RNAcentral.